UACGAAGGGGGCUAGCGUUGCUCGGAAUCACUGGGCGUAAAGGGCGCGUAGGCGGCGGUGUAAGUUGGAAGUGAAAUCCCAUCGGCUCAACCGUGGAAUUGCUCCCAGUACUGCAUCGCUCGAGGGGGAUAGGGGUCUGCGGAACUACCGGUGGAGCGGUGAAAUGUGUUGAUAUCGGUGGGAACGCCAGUGGCGAAAGCGGCAGACUUGACCCUUCCUGACGCUGAGGCGCGAAAGCUAGGGGAGCAAACGGG
RNAcentral lists this ribosomal RNA (254 nucleotides) under uncultured bacterium. RNAcentral's name for it is "partial 16S ribosomal RNA". It matches the Rfam family "Bacterial small subunit ribosomal RNA", at positions 524 to 776 of the family's 1533-position model. The record is from RNAcentral.